Molecule: long non-coding RNA, 1146 nt
Filed under: Homo sapiens (human)
Lineage: Eukaryota; Metazoa; Chordata; Mammalia; Primates; Hominidae
Description: HSALNT0198551
Source: RNAcentral
CAGACUCAAAUUUUAAUUCUUUCUCUCUGUUCAUGUCCCUGGCUUCCCUCUCCUGAAGCCAGGCACAGCGCCUCAGCAGAGGGAUAAAGGAGGCUGUGCAUCAACACAUCAACACUUUCUGUUAACCUCUCUUUUGACAGAGGGGUUUGGAUUUGUUGGCUCCUCGAAACACAUUCCUGCUCUGUUGUUCUGCAAAAAGAAAAUUUGUAAAACUGGGAACAUGAGAAAGCCAGACAGACCUUUGCUCUCUUCCACGAAUGUGGAGUCAUAAAUGAAGAAGUGAAGCAUCUACCACCAGACGGUCCCACUGCUUCCAAGUGGCACACUACCUCCGAGUCAGCACGGUUUCACCCCUGGGAGUGGUUCCCCUGGGGUUCUGCCUGCAGGACAUCUGACCGCUCUCCCUGUGCCCCCGCGAUUUGAGGCGUCUGUCUUCAGCUCCGCACAGGUCCUCUUAGCCUAUUACUCAAUUAGAAAGGGUAAUGUCUUUAAAAUCUCACUACACAAAGUACUGGCUUUGUGAAAAGGCUCUGACCUAUUUUGCCCUGCCUGGAUUGGUUUUAACAUCAUGUAGAUAGUAAGUAACAAACUCAUUAAACCAUUUCCAUUCUUGUCUUAGGGGACAACGUGGUGCCCUCCCCUUUUACAUGUUGCUUCUCUUAUCAGCUUCACUGGCUUUGUCUACUAACCCCAUGCCUGGGGAAUUAUAAGGAAGGGAUUCGGGCACCGUGUUGUCUGCGGCAUGAAUCUUGCCAGGCUGUGGCUGUCACCAAGGUUAUUGGACACUCCUCCCUGAGCAGGACCCACCUGGGAGGCAUGCAGAUGACAAGUGCCACUCAACCUUUUCCUCAGUGCCUGCUGGGCCCCGUGUGCAUGUUCAGGUAAUGAGAGGAACCUCGGAGCAAGUGGAGUAAGUGAGUGUGGUCACUCCAACAACAGACCAACCCAUGAGAGGUCUGAUUUCACGUUAAAAUGGGAAAUAUUUGGUUGAAUGGAAUUGACGGAAAGGCAGGAAUAGCCUUUCUCAUUCCCUCAUGGAUAGAAAAAAUGCACAAACCACGUUAUCUGUUGGGUUGCAUGGAAUCGCUCUGACUGUUUUAUUACCACCAUUCACGUAGCAUUUUAUGUGAAAGGGAAUGCUGGGCG